AGCCUUGUAUGGAUAUCCAUAAAGGAUAGAUGCGUAUGUGGCUUUAUCGGAACCUGAAGACAUACUCAAAUCUAGAUUUAGAAGAAGUUUCGCGCUACAGGUAGAUGAUCUGAUCAUCGAUUUUAUUUUUAUUUUGAAAUUAGAUGUAUGCUCAUCUUAUCUUCAUCAUAUAAAUUAGAUCCGUAAGUGUUAGAUUAGAUCUAUAUAUGUAUAG
RNAcentral lists this long non-coding RNA (214 nucleotides) under Elaeis guineensis (African oil palm). Its description in RNAcentral is "long non-coding RNA (EGUI_LNC003383)". Lineage: Eukaryota; Viridiplantae; Streptophyta; Magnoliopsida; Arecales; Arecaceae. The record is from RNAcentral.